CCAGAGGGUCGGGCGACCGCGGCGCGCAAGCGGCGAGGAAAGUCCGGGCUCCACGGAAACGACGGUGCCGGGUAACGCCCGGCGGGGGUGACCCCAGGGAAAGUGCCACAGAGAGCAGACCGCCGACGCCCGUUCGCGGGCAGGCAAGGGUGAAAGGGUGCGGCAAGAGCGCACCGCGGGCCUGGUAACAGGACCGGCACGGCAAACCCCACCGGGAGCAAGACCGAAUAGGGGCGGCAUAGGGGCUUCGUUCCGGCCCGUCGCCCGGGUUGGUUGCUUGAGCCCGCAGGCGACUGCGGGCCUAGAGGAAUGGUCGCCCAUCGCCUUCGGGCGGGGACAGAACCCGGCUUACAGACCCUCUGGCGCU
RNAcentral lists this RNase P RNA (367 nucleotides) under Sphingomonas koreensis. Its description in RNAcentral is "RNase P RNA component class A". It matches the Rfam family "Bacterial RNase P class A". From Rfam's summary of the family: Ribonuclease P (RNase P) is a ubiquitous endoribonuclease, found in archaea, bacteria and eukarya as well as chloroplasts and mitochondria. Its best characterised activity is the generation of mature 5'-ends of tRNAs by cleaving the 5'-leader elements of precursor-tRNAs. The record is from RNAcentral. Lineage: Bacteria; Pseudomonadati; Pseudomonadota; Alphaproteobacteria; Sphingomonadales; Sphingomonadaceae.